Molecule: long non-coding RNA, 324 nt
Filed under: Elaeis guineensis (African oil palm)
Lineage: Eukaryota; Viridiplantae; Streptophyta; Magnoliopsida; Arecales; Arecaceae
Description: long non-coding RNA (EGUI_LNC051573)
Source: RNAcentral
AUGCAGCCAGUUAUCCGAUUUAUGAUUCCAUUUUGAUCUUAACAACAUUAGGUACAAGUGAUUGGUUUAAGAGGCAAGAAGUAUUGAUGGAUGGUCAUGAACUCAUACUAGUUAGGUGUUUAGACUGACCUCCCCAUAUAUCAUAAUCUAAUGCUUGUAUAAAAAUUCUCAUGUGUACUUUUUAAAUAGUAUAAUUCAUGUUAUUGAAAAGUGAUGAUCUAGAAGUUAAUUAUUCUUCAGCAAAUGAGGAACCAAUCGGGGUUAUCAUAAUCUUUAGCUCAAGACCGCUAGGUUAUCAAAGAUAUAAGAGCACUAGGUAUAAUA